This is a non-coding RNA of Podarcis lilfordi (Lilford's wall lizard), 74 nucleotides long. NCBI's taxonomy places the organism in Eukaryota, Metazoa, Chordata, Lepidosauria, Squamata, Lacertidae. The record is from the annotation of a GenBank genome assembly.
UGGGAAAGCUCAGUUGGUAGAGCAUAAGACUCUUAAUCUCAGAAUCAUGGGUUUGAAUCCCACAUUGGGCAAAA